GGUGAGUAACACGUGGGUGAUCUGCCCUGCACUCUGGGAUAAGCCUGGGAAACUGGGUCUAAUACCGGAUAGGACCAUGCUUUAGUGUGUGUGGUGGAAAGUUUUUCGGUGUAGGAUGAGCCCGCGGCCUAUCAGCUUGUUGGUGGGGUAAUGGCCUACCAAGGCGGCGACGGGUAGCCGGACUGAGAGGUUGGUCGGCCACAUUGGGACUGAGAUACGGCCCAG
Molecule: ribosomal RNA, 225 nt
Filed under: uncultured Actinomycetales bacterium
Lineage: Bacteria; Bacillati; Actinomycetota; Actinomycetes; Actinomycetales
Description: partial 16S ribosomal RNA
Rfam family: Bacterial small subunit ribosomal RNA
Source: RNAcentral